GUGUCUCCUCUCUUGCUCUUGAUACAUGUGGACUUUUUGCCUUUCCUCUCUCUCCUCAUUUCAGUGAAGAGAGAAGUCAGAAAUAUGGAAUAUAUUAUUUUUCUAUGAAGUGAGAUUAUACUAUACAUGUACCUUCAGGCUCUAUAAAACUCACUAAAAUUGUGAACCAUGCCUUUAGUGAAGAGGAACAUUGAGCCCCGGCACUUGUGCCGGGGAGCUCUGCCUGAAGGGAUUACCAGCGAACUUGAAUGUGUAACCAAUAGUACUCUUGCCGCUAUCAUACGCCAGCUGAGCAGUCUGAGCAAACAUGCUGAAGACAUAUUUGGUGAGUUGUUUAAUGAGGCUAACAACUUCUACAUCAGAGCAAAUUCUCUUCAAGACAGAAUUGAUCGCCUUGCUGUCAAAGUCACCCAGCUGGAUUCAACAGUGGAAGAGGUCUCACUACAGGAUAUCAACAUGAAAAAAGCUUUCAAAAGUUCCACAGUCCAAGACCAGCAAGUGGUUUCAAAGAACAGCAUUCCUAAUCCUGUUGCUGAUAUUUACAACCAGAGUGAUAAGCCACCGCCUCUGAACAUCCUGACACCAUACAGAGAUGACAAGAAGGAUGGGCUGAAGUUCUAUACUGAUCCUUCCUAUUUCUUUGACCUCUGGAAAGAAAAAAUGCUACAGGACACCGAAGACAAAAGGAAAGAGAAAAGGCGUCAAAAG
RNAcentral lists this small RNA (708 nucleotides) under Pan troglodytes (chimpanzee). RNAcentral's name for it is "processed transcript". The record is from RNAcentral. Lineage: Eukaryota; Metazoa; Chordata; Mammalia; Primates; Hominidae.